This 776-nucleotide ribosomal RNA is filed under the name uncultured Bacillota bacterium. RNAcentral's name for it is "bacterial SSU rRNA". It matches the Rfam family "Bacterial small subunit ribosomal RNA", at positions 572 to 1348 of the family's 1533-position model. The record is from RNAcentral. Lineage: Bacteria; Bacillati; Bacillota.
CAGGCGGUUGCUUAGGUCUGAUGUGAAAGCCUUCGGCUUAACCGAAGAAGUGCAUCGGAAACCGGGCGACUUGAGUGCAGAAGAGGACAGUGGAACUCCAUGUGUAGCGGUGGAAUGCGUAGAUAUAUGGAAGAACACCAGUGGCGAAGGCGGCUGUCUGGUCUGCAACUGACACUGAGGCUCGAAAGCAUGGGUAGCGAACAGGAUUAGAUACCCUGGUAGUCCAUGCCGUAAACGAUGAGUGCUAGGUGUUGGAGGGUUUCCGCCCUUCAGUGCCGGAGCUAACGCAUUAAGCACUCCGCCUGGGGAGUACGACCGCAAGGUUGAAACUCAAAGGAAUUGACAGGGGCCCGCACAAGCGGUGGAGCAUGUGGUUUAAUUCGAAGCUACGCGAAGAACCUUACCAGGUCUUGACAUCUUGCGCUAACCUUAGAGAUAAGGCGUUCCCUUCGGGGACGCAAUGACAGGUGGUGCAUGGUCGUCGUCAGCUCGUGUCGUGAGAUGUUGGGUUAAGUCCCGCAACGAGCGCAACCCUUGUUACUAGUUGCCAGCAUUAAGGUGGGCACUCUGGAGAGACUGCCAGGGAUAACCUGGAGGAAGGUGGGGAUGACGUCAAAUCAUCAUGCCCCUUAUGACCAGGGCUACACACGUGCUACAAUGGCGUAAACAAAGGGAAGCAGAGCCGCGAGGCCGAGCAAAUCCCAAAAAUAACGUCUCAGUUCGGAUUGUAGUCUGCAACUCGACUACAUGAAGCUGGAAUCGCUAGUAAUCGCGAA